GACGAACGCUGGCGGCGUGCUUAACACAUGCAAGUCGAACGGAAAGGCCCUGCUUUGUGGGGUGCUCGAGUGGCGAACGGGUGAGUAACACGUGAGUAACCUGCCCUUGACUUUGGGAUAACUUCAGGAAACUGGGGCUAAUACCGGAUAGGAGCUCCUGCUGCAUGGUGGGGGUUGGAAAGUUUCGGCGGUUGGCGAUGGACUCGCGGCUUAUCAGCUUGUUGGUGGGGUAGUGGCUUACCAAGGCUUUGACGGGUAGCCGGCCUGAGAGGGUGACCGGCCACAUUGGGACUGAGAUACGGCCCAGACUCCUACGGGAGGCAGCAGUGGGGAAUAUUGCACAAUGGGCGGAAGCCUGAUGCAGCAACGCCGCGUGCGGGAUGACGGCCUUCGGGUUGUAAACCGCUUUCGCCUGUGACGAAGCGUGAGUGACGGUAAUGGGUAAAGAAGCACCGGCUAACUACGUG
RNAcentral lists this ribosomal RNA (467 nucleotides) under uncultured bacterium. RNAcentral describes it as "partial 16S ribosomal RNA". It matches the Rfam family "Bacterial small subunit ribosomal RNA", at positions 28 to 507 of the family's 1533-position model. The record is from RNAcentral.